CCCCCUUCCCCUCAGGGACCCUCCAAAAACUGGCCCCACCCCCCAGGAUACUCUCCCCUGGAAUGCCCCUGGGAUAUUUCCCCUUCCCUUCAGGCCCCCACCAUCCCUGGUGGAUAUCUCUGUUCCCCGCAGGGAUCCCCCCUGGAACGGACCCCAACCCCUGGGAUAUUUUCCCUUCCCUUCGGAAUCCCCCCACAGGAACAGACCUCCCCAGGAUACCCCCUCUUUCCCUGUAGCUCAUGAGACAUCCAUCCGUUGAUGGACAGGCUUCCCCCCACUGCUGGGUGCCAUCUCUGAGGUACCGAAAAAGGGACGUGCGAGAUGAUGCUGAGCCCAAAAUAUUGGCCUGCUGGGAGUGUGUAGUGAGCGUCCCGACAGAUUUCCCAGGAGAGCGACUUCAGAAAAGGGAUGAUCCUGGGCAAACCUGGAUAGAUAGCAACCCUACGCUCCUCACUCCCACAGUCCACAGCACUCUCCUACCCCCCUUCAGCCCCCAGGGGAAUGCGCUCGCCUCCCACCCAACUGGAGCCUGCCUGGGGUUGCAUUCCCCCCGUACCUCAGAGGUGUGCUUCUCGCCUUCCUCUGCUGCAGGGUCCGUGCAACGUGACAGCGCACACUGGCUACAAGACGGCUUUAGGAAGAAUGCACUUUCAUGAAUAUUUUAUUUACUGCUGAAUUGAGUGAAUCCUAAUAUUGAGGGACAGCCCAGAGGAAAAUGGCAUCCGGGCCUGACCUGCCUUACUCCUCAAUAGACAAAGAAGCAAGAUUAAAGUUUUGUGGAUACCCAACUGCCUUUAACUUCCAGCCAGACAUCUGCUACAAAGGGAAGAAGGGACCCCACUUCAGCAUCUCCACUGGAAGGGUUGCGUAAUGGAACAUGGAGGCGGACUCAUCCAUCCUGAUUAAAAAACAGCUUCAUCUCUCAAAUACUGCGGAUUCUCCAUCUCAUAAGGUCAUGGAAGUCGGAGGUGCAGUGUGGGGCCACUAACAGUGAUGUUGACCAUGUGACUACAAUGCAGCCCCCCUGUUUAUAUACAUGCCGACUCCUGAUGCAUCCUGUAGCAGCAGGGCAACGUUGGCAGCCUGCCAGAAUAACACUGUCACGGAGUCCCCGGGCGAUGCUCUGGACCUGCUCCCUACGAAGCCAGUCAGGACUCUGGGGAAGUCUCCUUUCUGUGAGCAGCCUGUCUUCAGGAC
Long non-coding RNA from Chelonia mydas (Green sea turtle), 1197 nucleotides. RefSeq lists it as uncharacterized. NCBI's taxonomy places the organism in Eukaryota, Metazoa, Chordata, Testudines, Cheloniidae. The record is from RefSeq and is a predicted model, not a curated record. The transcript has 5 exons.